GCCUAACACAUGCAAGUCGAGCGCACCUUCGGGUGAGCGGCGGACGGGUGAGUAACGCGUAGGAAUCUACCUAGUAGAAGGGGAUAGCCCGAGGAAACUCGGAUUAAUACCGUAUACCUCCUCCGGGAGAAAGAAGGCCUCUCUUUGAAGCUUUCGCUACUAGAUGAGCCUGCGUAAGAUUAGCUUGUUGGUGAGGUAAAGGCUCACCAAGGCUACGAUCUUUAGCGGGUCUGAGAGGACGAUC
Molecule: ribosomal RNA, 244 nt
Filed under: uncultured bacterium
Lineage: Bacteria
Description: partial 16S ribosomal RNA
Rfam family: Bacterial small subunit ribosomal RNA
Source: RNAcentral